This 220-nucleotide long non-coding RNA is filed under the name Bos taurus (domestic cattle). RNAcentral's name for it is "long non-coding RNA NONBTAT017422". Lineage: Eukaryota; Metazoa; Chordata; Mammalia; Artiodactyla; Bovidae. The record is from RNAcentral.
AAGAAAAGGAAAUAGGAAGACUACCAUUCUAAAUCUACCAUUGUAGCAUCUGUAAGAGACAUUAAAUUAGAUUCAAUGUAACCACUGUGUGGCUUGCAGAUAUUUUCCUUCAUCUCCUUCUUUCUUGAUAGCUCAGACCUUGCAUCCACCCAAGCCCUUUCCCCCCUAGCUUUCACGUUUCCUAGUACCCUACCCAAAACGUCUUCUCUUUUCCUCUCUU